GACUUUGCAGGCUGCGGUCUUACUUACUCAUGUGUUCAUGUGUGGUCAGCCACCAGAGGAUCUGUUAGAUUUAUAUGCGGGAUGGGUAGAGGUCAGAAGACUCAUAAAAGUUGGAGCAUUUUAAAAGUGACUGGACGCACGUGUGGAGAAGACUUGGACACGGUCAGCUUCUCCUUGGUCUGAAGAACCUGUCAUUCUGCCACCUCGGCCUGUCCACAGCUCUACCAAGCAGAUGUGAAGAAUGUGGGUGGAUGCCCUCAGUAAUCUAAGUCACUGACUGAUGGAGUGAUCACGGAUGUACUGACACCGGUUCAGCUGAGGUUUCAUCUCCUACAGCGUGAGGGCAAAGAGAGUGAGGUCCUCGUGCCUGUGAGGAUGAUCAAGACAGUAUGACG
This is a long non-coding RNA of Colossoma macropomum (tambaqui), 395 nucleotides long. RefSeq lists it as uncharacterized. Lineage: Eukaryota; Metazoa; Chordata; Actinopteri; Characiformes; Serrasalmidae. The transcript is spliced from 3 exons. The record is from RefSeq and is a predicted model, not a curated record.